RNAcentral lists this unclassified non-coding RNA (354 nucleotides) under soil metagenome. RNAcentral's name for it is "partial contains 5.8S ribosomal RNA, internal transcribed spacer 2, and large subunit ribosomal RNA". The stretch from base 1 to 120 matches the Rfam family "5.8S ribosomal RNA", at positions 35 to 154 of the family's 154-position model. The record is from RNAcentral.
GAUGAAGAACGCAGCGAAAUGCGAUAAGUAGUGUGAAUUGCAGAAUUCAGUGAAUCAUCGAAUCUUUGAACGCAUAUUGCGCCCUUUGGUAUUCCAAAGGGCAUGCCUGUUCGAGCGUCAUUUCAACCCUCAGGCCCCCAGUGCCUGGCGUUGGGGAUCGGCGCGGCGCCCUCCGGGGCGCUGCCGGCCCCGAAAUUCAGUGGCGGUCUCGCUGUAGCCCUCCUCCGCGUAGUAGCACAACAUCGCGGCCUGGAGCUCGGCGGUGGCCAUGCCGUAAAACACCCCACUUCUGAAAGUUGACCUCGGAUCAGGUAGGAAUACCCGCUGAACUUAAGCAUAUCAAUAAGCGGAGGA